Molecule: ribosomal RNA, 253 nt
Filed under: uncultured bacterium
Lineage: Bacteria
Description: partial 16S ribosomal RNA
Rfam family: Bacterial small subunit ribosomal RNA
Source: RNAcentral
GACGUAGGGGGCGAGCGUUGUCCGAAGUUACUGGGCGUAAAGAGCGCGUAGGCGGGUUUUUAAGUGAGGGGUGAAAGGUUCAGGCUCAACCUGGACACUGCCUUUCAUACUGGAGACCUUGAGUGCGGGAGAGGCGAGUGGAAUGGUCGGUGUAGCGGUGAAAUGCGUAGAUAUCGAUCGGAACACCGAUGGCGAAGGCAGCUCGCUGGGACGGUACUGACGCUGAGGCGCGAAAGCGUGGGGAGCGAACAGG